Molecule: long non-coding RNA, 281 nt
Filed under: Physcomitrium patens
Lineage: Eukaryota; Viridiplantae; Streptophyta; Bryopsida; Funariales; Funariaceae
Description: long non-coding RNA (PPAT_LNC014480)
Source: RNAcentral
GAUACUUUAACUUUGAGUGCCAAUAAUUCCUUUAUUAAAACUCCAAAUCACAUAAAAUUUGCAUCCAAUUUGUACCCAAAAUCAUAAAUUUGCUGAUCCUAGCCUCUGAAGCUCGAAUGACUUCAAAAGAGGAAUCUUAAUCCCUAAUAAGGCCUCAGACAGCUUCCUUGAAGCCUAUUGGAUAUGGCCUUCGACCAAAAGAAAUGAAGAUCUCUAUUCAUUACCUUCAAUUAACCAUGCCUUAUUUUUAUUCCUCCCAAUAAGCCUCCUACUAGUUAAGA